Lycium ferocissimum is the source of this 2917-nucleotide long non-coding RNA. RefSeq lists it as uncharacterized. Lineage: Eukaryota; Viridiplantae; Streptophyta; Magnoliopsida; Solanales; Solanaceae. The record is from RefSeq and is a predicted model, not a curated record. The transcript is spliced from 2 exons.
CAGAGCCAAACGACCAUUUAGAUGUAGCAAAGGGUUCCCAUAGUGGAAACCCUAGCUGCCUCCUCUCUUCUUUCGCCUCUCUGACGUCACACGCCGGAAAUGGCAAAGAUAAGGGCCCGCAUGGGUUCCUCUAGACUUGGUAUAGCCGAGAAUGGCAAGAUCAUUAAGUGCUCUGCUAUUUCUCAACUAAAUAUGUCGAUGUGUCACCCAAACGAGUGUGUGGCUGAGUGUGGAGGAGCAAGGAGGCUGAUCCAAGUCCAUUCUCAACCAAGCUGCGCCAAAGAAAGGUAAUCUUUCUUCCUUUAAUUUAUUUUGUUUAAGGUUUUAUCUAUUCUUAAGUGUUAUAGUUAAUUUCUGCUAUGCUUAGUAUGUGUUCUUUUAGUUAACUCUCUGUUGUUGUUAGUCUAGCAUGAUUAGGAUAUAUUUGAUUGCUUCUAGUUAAUUAUUGGUUAGUAGUAGUUCAGUAUGAUUUAGCAUGUUGAUUGUUUUCAUUGUUUUAGGUUAAUUACUUAUAGAUGGUAGUUUAGCAUGACUUAGCAGGCUUUAAUUGCACUGUGGGUUAAUUGUUUGUUAAUGGUAGCUCAGCAUGAUUAGUGUGUAUUUGUUCACCGCUUAGUUAAUGCUUUGCUAGUGAUAGCUUAAUAUAGCAUAUGUUUCACUUAUUGUGAAAUCUUCUUGGUUUAAUGAGAUCAGUAUUGCCUUUAUUGAUCAAAUCAUGCUGUUAGUGAUAUUCUAAAUGGUUUAGUUUGUAUCUUGUGUGAUGUGCUAUGGAAGUUCAUUUAACCUUUUGUUUGCCUAUUGGGUUUGCUAUUACUGUGCCUUAUGGAUGUCAAUUUGUUGCUUGAAGUUCACUAUCAAACAUAAGUUUACCAUAUCUUAAAUACGUUUAAGAACCAGUUUAUGUGUAUCAUUUGAUUUUGAAUGAAAUGUCAACUUGUGUUUGUAUUGUUUGAACCCUCUAGGUAUGAGUUUACACCUAAAUGGGUCUCAGUUGAUUAAAGUGGCAUGACUAAUGACUUUCAAUAACAAAUUUGUCCAUUUUAGCUUAAUAUGGUACCACUAAGGUCCCUAUGCUGAUUUAUGGACCAUUUCUGAUAAGUGUUGGUAUUAGUAUGAGCUUGUCUGAUUCACUUAGCCCUCCUAGCAUGAUAAGAGUAAGGCUCAGAUGUUUUUUGAUAAGUCUAAACAAGGUUAAUGAGAGUCUGAACUUAACUUUGGUCACCUUUAGAAAGAUAGUAUCUCUGAAUGAAUGCCUUUUCUGCUUAAAAUGAUUUAGAAGACUAUCAUGUCACAUUAGUCUAAAAUUAAGGUUCAUCCAACAACUAGAAUGGUCUGAUAUGGAAUAUAGGACACAAACCUAAGAAGCCAACCUGGAAUAGCCUAGACCUACCAUUAAUGUCUCAUGAAUGAGUCAUAUGGGAACCUGUUUAGGUCUGGAAAAUGUUUGUAGGUAUGUGGUUGCCCAGUUUAAGUAUAAUGCCUCUGUGUCUGUGGAAUCUUGCCUAUUCUUUCUAAAUUUGAAUCAAAUAUAUGAUUGUUGUGCUGAUUGAUAUCAAACUCUACAUGUUUUUUCACUAAUAUGCUCAAUAUAUGUCUCCCUAUCAAUUUGUAGUAAGAGGUAUUGCAUAAAUGAGGGUCUAAAGUGAUGCUAAAUAGCUAGUAUGUGUGUCAUGAGAUCCUAUAUGAUUGUAUAAGUCCAAAAUGGCCAGUUGAAUAUUGACAUUCCUUUUCUUCUCUGCAUCUGAGCAUGUUUCCUUUUUUCUAAAUGGUUGUAUGCUGUCGUAGAGGCAUAACAUGAAUUGGCAAUGCAUUGUUUCCCUUUUAAAGUAUGGUCUGAACCUAGAAAAAAUGUUGGUGUCCUGUUUGUUUGUUAGCCCUUUAUGUAGAAGCUCAUGCUUAUUCUGAUUUCCUAUGGUUAUGAUAAGACUACAAAUAAGGGAUAAACUAUCUAGUAUGCAUAUCCAUUUGUCAAAUGAUUUUGAAUUUGUGUUUCUGCUCUCAUGUCUGCCUGCAUUCAGUUUGGCUUUGUCAAAUGCUCAUUGCUGCAUCUUUGUGAUCUUGUCGGUAUGUCUAAGCCUUGUGUGUUGUUUAAAUCUGUUUAAGUGACCCCCUCCCUUGCUUACUUAUCUUGCUUGCUUGUAUACGUAAUAUGGUGUUGGAAAUACACCAGAUAUACCAGGCUUGUAUACACUCUGGUGUAUAUAAAGAGGAUAUAUCUGGUGUAUCAUGCGCCUGUAUCUUACAAGACCUCUUUCUCCGUAAUUUAAAAUCAAGGCUUCGAGUAUAACUUUCUUGUGUGCUUAGUCUAUUUGGGCUUUGUUAAUGGGCUGCCUGAACCUGCUUACUACCUGAGUUCAUACAUGUUUAUUUCCUUGGGCCUUCAAGUGUCAUGAAGGUUUUUGCUUAAUCUUUUAUAAGUGCAUAUAUGUUUCUGUAUACACCUGAUAUACAUACGCUUAAUUCGAAUGUUUACUUGUUUAAGUUCUUGAUAAUAGAGUAAGUCAGUUUAGAUUCUUUCUAACUUGCAUAUUCCUUUUUCCUCUUUGUUUGCAUGGGACACCUCCUUUUGGGCCAAUUUCUAUUGCAUAAAACCUGUUGGUCCUGUGGCCCAACCCCUUCCUUGAUCGAGUCCGAAUCUGAGUAACGGAAGCAAAUAUGUUAAAGGCCCACCUAUGGGUAAAAAUAGGAAACUGGUGGGCUUAGGUAAGCCCACUAGCCCAACUCUUCUUAUAUAUAUGUGUGUGUGUGUGUGUUUCUGUAUAUCAUUGUAUAUAAGUUGUAUAUGUAAACAACACUUGUAAAUAUUGAAACCCUUUGUAUGCUUAGAACCUAGGAAAUACAUUAGUAUUAUUAGGAAGUCGUUUAAAUGAUUUUGAAACCUACUUAACUCUAAGAUAUGCAUGAAAUCGGUAUUCAA